GACGAACGCUGGCGGCGUGCUUAACACAUGCAAGUCGAACGGAAAGGCCCUGCUUUUGUGGGGUGCUCGAGUGGCGAACGGGUGAGUAACACGUGAGUAACCUGCCCUUGACUUUGGGAUAACUUCAGGAAACUGGGGCUAAUACCUGAUAGGAGCUCCUGCUGCAUGGUGGGGGUUGGAAAGUUUCGGCGGUUGGGGAUGGACUGGCGGCUUAUCAGUUUGUUGGUGGGGUAGUGGCUUGCCAAGGCUUUGAUGGGUAGCCGGCCUGAGAGGGUGACCGGCCACAUUGGGACUGAGAUACGGCCCAGACUCCUACGGGAGGCAGCAGUGGGGAAUAUUGCACAAUGGGCGGAAGCCUGAUGCAGCAACGCCGCGUGCGGGAUGACGGCCUUCGGGUUGUAAACCGCUUUCGCCUGUGACGAAGCGUGAGUGACGGUAAUGGGUAAAGAAGCACCGGCUAACUACGUG
This 468-nucleotide ribosomal RNA is filed under the name uncultured bacterium. RNAcentral describes it as "partial 16S ribosomal RNA". It matches the Rfam family "Bacterial small subunit ribosomal RNA", at positions 28 to 507 of the family's 1533-position model. The record is from RNAcentral.